Molecule: long non-coding RNA, 3194 nt
Filed under: Nicotiana tabacum (common tobacco)
Lineage: Eukaryota; Viridiplantae; Streptophyta; Magnoliopsida; Solanales; Solanaceae
Description: long non-coding RNA (NTAB_LNC002211)
Source: RNAcentral
UUAAUAUUCUUAUACGGAAAAAAUAUAUUCUUUAACAAUGAAUAUGUUUCUAAUAUUAUUUAUACUGUAUCAAUAUGGUUAUUACGACCCAAAACUCCGCCAAGUCAUGAUGGCACCUAACUCAACCUGCUAGGUAAGCCAAACAGUAUAAGUUACAACUAUAAUGAGUAAUCAUUGAUUACGGUAAGUAAAACGGCAAAAGAAUUCAAUACAACUAUCCCAAGGGCUGGUAGUACAAGUCACGAGCCACUAUAAUUUAGAUUUACAAGGUUGGUAUGAAGAAUAAAUACAAUAUUUAUUUAUAGUUUACAUAAACAAAAAUGAAAUCAUAUACUACCGUGAACAAGAGAUAGCUUGAAUCUGGAACGUUGGUACGUCUUCAAUGCAAAGCUUCGCCUUCCAUAGCUACUCAGCUCCAGAAUCUGCACGCAAGGUACAGAAAUGUAGUAUGAAUAUAACCGACCUCAUGUACUCAGUAAGUAUCUAGAAUAACCUCAGAGAAGUAGUGACAGUGUUUUUAAGUCAAAAAGAUACUCAUUUUCAUAAAAUGUGUAGCUCAAUAACAUGUACAAUAUAGAGAGUGACACGACCCAAAAUUUCGCGUUUAAAAACAAAUUCUACUAGCUUCUAUGUAAUUAAUAGACUGUGCUAUAAAAUUAAAAUAUAAUUAUUUUAAUCUAGAGUGUGGCUUGUAGUAUUUUUGAAAAAUGCCAACGACUAAAAUAAUAUUGUAGUAAUUAUUAUUUUAUUUUUAGAUGAUAAUAAAUUGAUAGAAAAAUUCUUAUAUUUGAAAAAUAAGACAAUUAUCAGUAAAUUAUUUAAAAUUUUAAAAAAAAAUGCACAAAAAAGUAGUAUUUAACUAAUUGCAGUAAAAUGAUUAAAAAAUCGUAUUUUGCAAAAACAAAGAUAAUUAUCAAUAAAUUGCAUUAAACUUUAAAUUGCGCAAAAAGACUACAUUUUAUCAUUAACGGCUAGGAAGCCUACAUAAAUUAAUUUUUAAAUAACGAGGGCCAAAAUUGAGUGUCAACAGCUAUGCCUCUUUGACUGGAGACGGUGUAAGAGUCUUCGGGCAAAGAAAUUGACGCCAUACUUAAUUUUUUCCCGACUUCUAUUGUGUAAAAACAGAUGAUGUGUAGUAGGGGAAUAGAGGAGAUUUUGAAUAUUGUAACCAAACUCAAGUGUUUGAGUUGCCUACAAAUCUCGGGUUGCACAAAAAUCUGAUCGUGUGUAGUUCUGGGAUGCAAUUGAGUGCCACUUGUGGGUUGUAGCCUUAUUGAGUCAAAGACAAAGGACGCAAAUGUCCGAGGACGAAAAUGACUCAUGUGACCUCGACAAUGCUUUAAGAUUGCCCCAGUAUCAAAAUGUGGUGGCACUGGGACGUAGUUGUUGGAUAUGAUGGAUAGAUUGAUGGACUUUGAUGUGGGUACCACCAAACUCUUGCCGAGUUUUCUACAUAUCUCGAAUGUAACGAGAAUCAGGCCGAAUGUAGUUCGAUAAAUUGGUUGAUAACAUAAUAGAGCAGGAUUAGAAUGGAUUUAAUUUUUGAUUUUUAAAAUUGCCCAAACAUCAAGCUCUAAUGACACUGGAGUUUUUAUUUUAAUGCAAGGGACACAGAUUACCUAUACACCCCAUGACAAAUGGGAUAUAAAUUGCAUGAUACUUGGGAGCAUACCGUCGGCUUCUAUUGAGGAGUUUGAUGUUCGCUCUCAAAAUUUAUCCAGUUUGCUACUAGAAGAUAAUUCCAUGUUAUGCCACGUCUUUUCUAUUGAUAGAGUUGAUAUGGUGUAGACUAUUCUUCCGUUUGUCUUGAGAGAGAUGGAUUGUAAUGGGUUGAAUGAUGCAUGUGUAUUUGAUGCAAGGAUGAUGUGAUCCAUUGAAUGAAAUGGGGUCCCAGGUUGGUGUGCCAAGACCCUGGUGCGAACUCUAAUUUGAAAGAAAUCCGGGUUGGAUACUGAUCCAAGUUUGUUGGAGCACUCUAAUUUGAAAAAAAUCCGGUUAUGUGCUGGUACGAAGUGAUCGGAGCAUUUGAUUUGAAAUAAAUCCAGGUUGGGUACCGGUCCGAAGUGAUCCGAGCAUUUGAUUUGAAGGUUAGACAGGUUGUGUACCAUUCCAAAAUGAUUGGAGCAUUUGAGGGUUAGACGGUUUGUGUACUGUUCCGAAAUGAUUGGAGCUAUAAAAUUUAAAAUACCCGCAUUAGAAGGUGGGUGCCUGUAAAAUUUAAAAUACCCAUAUUAGAAGGUGGAUACCUAUAAAAUUUGAAUUACCUGUAUUAGAAGGCGGGGGCCUGUAAAAUUUGACUUUAAAAUACCCGCAUUAUAAGGUGGGCGCCUAUAAAAUUUAACUUUGAGCUGCCCAAAUUAGAAGGUGUGUGCCUGUAAAAUUUAACUUUGAAAUGCCCGCAUUAGAAGGUGGACGCUUGUAGAUUUGACUUUGGAAUGCCCGCAUUAGAAUGUGGGUGCAUAUAAAAUUUGACUUUGAAAUCCCUGCGUUAGAAGGUGAGUGCCUGUAAAAGAAAGGAGUUAUCUUUCCCACACAAGAAAAUUGAUGAAAAGGGGACCUACUUGACUCUUUUUUAUUAUUUUCUGCAUUUUUUGUUGUCUUUGUGAUUUUUGUAAAGAAUGUUAAAAAAAAAUUAAGAGUAAAGAAAGACUAUAAUUUAUUGAUCAAUCAUUUCUUGACUUCAGUUGGUACCAAUAAUUAGUAUUGUGCAUAAAAACUUCCAUCAUAUAUUAUCCGAUAAAUCGAGAUUGGCUUGUGGGUAAUCUUAUAGCUUCGAGUGAUACCUCAUGUAUACCUAAGUAUCGAAAAGAUUUGUUCAUCUUGCUUCAAUCAAUGAUUUUGACUUUUGCAUAUCCUCAUGUUUCAAGUGCCCUCACCAAAAAAAAGGUCCUAAUUUGCACACAUUUGAAAUAUUUAUAUUGUAGGAUAUUUUGGGAAGCACAUUCACACUCAAAAAGAUGUUCAAUGCACGCGAUUGAGAUACCAUAUGCUUGGCCUUCAUGUAAGCAUCCACUAAUAUGAGAACACUUGAAAUAGGAUAAUGUAAGGCUUGUUAUCGACUUGUAAUGUAGGCUUGGGGAUGUGUAGGAUAUUCAUUUGGGAGGAAAGUGAUGAAUCCCUCCUUGAGCACUGCAUUGUAUCUGCGUUUGUUUAAAUCAUGCUUCGGCACUUGAUCUUGUUUGCCUCGAUGUCCU